RNAcentral lists this ribosomal RNA (483 nucleotides) under uncultured bacterium. Its description in RNAcentral is "partial 16S ribosomal RNA". It matches the Rfam family "Bacterial small subunit ribosomal RNA", at positions 30 to 507 of the family's 1533-position model. The record is from RNAcentral.
AUUGAACGCUGGCGGCAGGCCUAACACAUGCAAGUCGAGCGGAUGAAGGGAGCUUGCUCCUGGAUUCAGCGGCGGACGGGUGAGUAAUGCCUAGGAAUCUGCCUGGUAGUGGGGGAUAACGUCCGGAAACGGGCGCUAAUACCGCAUACGUCCUGAGGGAGAAAGUGGGGGAUCUUCGGACCUCACGCUAUCAGAUGAGCCUAGGUCGGAUUAGCUAGUUGGUGGGGUAAGGCCUACCAAGGCGACGAUCCGUAACUGGUCUGAGAGGAUGAUCAGUCACACUGGAACUGAGACACGGUCCAGACUCCUACGGGAGGCAGCAGUGGGGAAUAUUGGACAAUGGGCGAAAGCCUGAUCCAGCCAUGCCGCGUGUGUGAAGAAGGUCUUCGGAUUGUAAAGCACUUUAAGUUGGGAGGAAGGGCAGUAAGUUAAUACCUUGCUGUUUUGGCGUUACCAACAGAAUAAGCACCGGCUAACUUCGUG